RNA transcript from Nyctereutes procyonoides (raccoon dog), 1466 nucleotides. It is a transcript of the gene named transmembrane protein 190, with no coding region annotated. The record is from RefSeq and is a predicted model, not a curated record. The transcript is spliced from 2 exons. NCBI's taxonomy places the organism in Eukaryota, Metazoa, Chordata, Mammalia, Carnivora, Canidae.
UCGGUCCGCACGGUCUGGCUGUCCUGUUCCUGUCUUGCACCGCGGUCUCUCUUCCUCUCCUCCCCCUGACUGAGAUUUUAUUUAUUUAUUCAUGAUAGUCACACAGAGAGAGACAAAGAAGCAGAGACACAGGCAGAGGGAGAAGCAGGCUCCAUGCAGGGAGCCCGACGUGGGAUUCGAUUCCGGGUCUCCAGGAUCGCGCCCGGGCCAAAGGCAGGCGCCAAACCGCUGCGCCACCCAGGGAUCCCGGAAGCAACUUCUUAACAACCAGGCAUGACCAGGCCAGUGUGACCCCCUCCUUCCUUCUCUCCCACUGCUCAGGUGGCUCCCUAGCAACAGAAUUUAGAACUUUGAAAGCUGGGUGGGCAGGUGGGCGGGGCCCCGCUGGUUGCUGGGGUGAUGGCCUUCAGGGUCUGUCCCCACAGAGGCCCCUGGGGUCUGGGGGAGGCAACAUGGUGGCCUCUGGGAUCCCAGCUUUGAGCCUUUUCCUGCUGAUGCAGGGCUCAGUAGGUAAGGGGGCUGAAGUGAGGGUCCAAGAGCUGGGCAGGGAGCCUCCUCAGCCUCCAUACAGCCUCCUCUAACACCAAUCCUUUUUCUUCACAGAUGGGAAUGGAAUCCAGGGAUUCUUCUAUCCAUGGAGUGAGCAAUGAAUUAAACCUUGGUCCCCCAAGGACAGGGAGCCCAGACUAGACUCUUGGGUCUAAGGGGAAUAGGGCCUGGAGGCCAGAACUCCUGGGUCUGAGGGAAAAGGAGGCUAGGGGCCUGGACCCCUGGAUCUGAGGAAGGAGGGGCCUGGGGGACUGGAUUCCUGGGUCUGAGGGAGGAGGGGCUGGGAGCCUGGACUCUGGGGCCUGAGGGAGGAAGCUCUGGGGGCCUGGACUCCUGGGUCCUGCACAGAUUAGUAGGACCAGGCAGGCAGGCCUGGAGUCUGACUUUGGGACCCUGGCAUUCUGAGGCCUUCGGGACAGACUCUGUGACAUAGCUGCCACUUGUGGUUCGUCCCAAGGCUGUGAGGGAGAUGUGUGGGACCGGGAGAGCUGUGGGGGCCAGGCCGCAAUCGAGAAUCCCAAUCUCUGUCUGCGUCUACGCUGCUGCUACCGUGAUGGGGUCUGCUACCACCAGCGGCCAGAUGGUGAGUGCCUGGAGGUGGGGUCCCCGGGGCAGGACUGGCCGCUGAGACUCCCAGGUCUCAAACCUGCCUCUUUUGUUCAGAAACUAUGCGGAGGAAGCAUAUGUGGGCACUGGGCUGGACAUGUGGAGGCCUCCUCUUCCUAAUCUCCAGCAUCUGCUUGUUCUGGCAAGUGGCGUUGGGGCUUGGGGUGGGCACCUGUACCCCAGGGGAGCAGUCAGCCUGGUUAGGACUGAGUGUGUACCCUCCUCCCAGGUGGGCCAAGCGCCGGGACAUGCUGCACCUUCCAGGGUUCUUAAAGGGCAAAUGUGACCUGUCGAGGACCGUCUCUCUGUUA